AUGAACGCUGGCGGCGUGCCUAAUACAUGCAAGUCGAGCGAACAGACGAGGAGCUUGCUCCUCUGACGUUAGCGGCGGACGGGUGAGUAACACGUGGAUAACCUACCUAUAAGACUGGGAUAACUUCGGGAAACCGGAGCUAAUACCGGAUAAUAUAUUGAACCGCAUGGUUCAAUAGUGAAAGACGGUUUUGCUGUCACUUAUAGAUGGAUCCGCGCCGCAUUAGCUAGUUGGUAAGGUAACGGCUUACCAAGGCGACGAUGCGUAGCCGACCUGAGAGGGUGAUCGGCCACACUGGAACUGAGACACGGUCCAGACUCCGACGGGAGGCAGCAGUAGGGAAUCUUCCGCAAUGGGCGAAAGCCUGACGGAGCAACGCCGCGUGAGUGAUGAAGGUCUUCGGAUCGUAAAACUCUGUUAUUAGGGAAGAACAAAUGUGUAAGUAACUAUGCACGUCUUGACGGUACCUAAUCAGAAAGCCACGGCUAACUACGUG
This 496-nucleotide ribosomal RNA is filed under the name uncultured bacterium. Its description in RNAcentral is "partial 16S ribosomal RNA". It matches the Rfam family "Bacterial small subunit ribosomal RNA", at positions 29 to 507 of the family's 1533-position model. The record is from RNAcentral.